GAUCCUGGUCACCGUCAAAACUCCCUCUUCCAUGCCAGCAACCGAUCAAUCACACAAUGGAAGAAGAGAAGAGGGGACAGCCUCCGUCCUUCUUCUUCUUAAUUUUUUUUAAAAUUUGUUUGGGAUCUAGAUUGAAACCACCAACCGGCUCAUGCCGGUGGCUGUCAGAGCACGGGGUUGGGGUCUGGAAGCAACACAUGGUG
Molecule: long non-coding RNA, 203 nt
Filed under: Elaeis guineensis (African oil palm)
Lineage: Eukaryota; Viridiplantae; Streptophyta; Magnoliopsida; Arecales; Arecaceae
Description: long non-coding RNA (EGUI_LNC021157)
Source: RNAcentral